AUUAAGUUCACAAGCAAUGAAAGAACAAUCAAAACACCUUUUUAAUAGUCAUAUUAGCAGUACAUAAUUUCAACCAUGGUGAGAACCUAAAUCUAACAAUUGGUUCACUCAAACAUAUUCAGCUAAAUGCAGCAGUACCCAUUUUUUAGAGAAAGUGAAAACCGAAUGAGAAAGAAAGAAACUGGGGAGAGAGAAACGAAACUGGGGAGAAAGAAACUGAGGGUUAUAAGUUGAUUUUCUUAUAAAUUUAUCAUGUAAUAUAAUAUUGUGUGUUACAGGUAGUCAUCAUCAUUCCACAACAUCCAUCACUUCUUAUUUAUUUUAUUAUCAUACCAAUGAAAAUUUUAUUCAAGGGAUACUCAAUGUCAGAAGCAGUCAUAUCAAAGAUCUUUGAAUUCAAAGAAAAUACAAAAAAAAAAGAUUUUUUUUUAAAUACAUAUAAAUAUUAUGUCAUCACCUCAUCAUUUAGUUAACUUGGAGCGAUGCUGAUAUGUCAUCACCUCAUAAUUUAGUGAACUUGGAGUGAUGCAAAGGAAGCAGCCAGAUCCAACGCCGCUUGUAAGUGAGAAGCAUUCGUUCCCUGAACCAAAAAAAUAAAAAAUUGUUGACAAUUGUAAAAGAUAAAACUAGGAGUUAUGUUCCAUUCAUUUACAUGGACGAUAACAUAUUAUACCACUAGCCAAGAUAAUUACCAAAUCCAAAUGAUAUAAGAUGAAAGAACUGACAUUAUCCAUCAUAAUUACCAAGCACAUAAUGUGUUUAAGAAAAUGUUUUAGCAUUAGCAAUAUGAACCAAAAAGAAGAUCAGUUUAGCAUUACCUUCUUAACGGUCAUAUUCUCAUGUCUGCCGAACAUUGUGUAGUAGUAUGGUGUAGAGUCCUUUGUAUUCAAAUUGUCUACCUUUCCACACUUCAAAGCAGUGACGAGCUUGAAUUCACGCAGAGACAAUCUUACUGGUUUUCCCCCAAACAGAACCCAAAUCUCAGUUUUAUUUGAAACUUCUAUUUGCCUUCUAAGCAAAAAAAACCCAAAUCUCGAUGACCAUAUGGGUUUCUCGGCCAAUUCAAACAGCUUCUCGAAUCCGUUCUUCUUGAAGACAUCAAUCUCAUAUGGUUUUAGUAUGGCUAAAAGAUCUCUUAGAUGCGUCAUAACAGAGUAAGUAUUAACCUUCUCUCCGUUUGGUUCCAGCCCCGCUCUGAACAACCAUUUUGGGAGACCAGAAUCCAUUUGUAUAUACAGAACGGUGAGAUCGUGAAUUUGUCAGUUUAACAAAUUCCAAAGAUUGUGAAUUUGCGAUUGAUCGAAACCGUUAAUGUUUAAAGACUUACAAUUCACUGGAAAAUGCCGAAUUUCUUGACGGUGGCAUAGGGUUUAUCGCCAUCGGGGAUGAAGAGAAAAGCAACAAAACAAAAAAAUGUUGCUUGGAUCGUUUUCUCUUCAGUUGGGCCACGUAUGGGCCUUUUCUCUUAUUUAAAGAAGUUCUUAUUAAAAGAAGUUCUUUUUUUAUGUCCAAAAACAAAUCAGCUCUUCACUGUCGCAACUCACAAUCUUCUUCUUCUUCACAAAAUCGCUUCGAUUCCGUCACGAAUUUUUGAUUGGAUUUCUGGGUUCUUUCUAAGAAAGCAGUCGACGUGUUGAUAAAAUCAACGAAGAAGAUCCUUCGUGCGUCUUCUUCCUCCUCUCUGUUUUGGGUUUUUAGAGUUUAUCUUCGAAAGUGAAAUUGAUUGAAUUUAAAAGGGUAAAUGAAAAGUUUUGUGAUUUUUAUUUCAAUCUCUGAGAUUUUUGAGUAGCUUUUUGUGUUUUUGAAUCUGUAGAUUUUUCCAGUAGCUGAAAAUUGAGGUCGAUUUGAACCGAGGAGUCCAAGCUUCCACAAGAAAUUGAUUUGGAAGAUCAUAAUACCACCGGUAAGAAAUUGAUUUUUGGAACUUGAUUUUUCCGAUUGGUUUGUUUAUUUUAUGCAUUUUACAUAGAAAUUCCAUGUUUUGGUGAAGCCCAAUUUGAAACACGAGAUAUGUUUGGAUAUUUACAUAGGCUAAUGAUAUGUGUUGCUAUCUGUAUCUAAUUUGUCAGUUUUAAGAAUUCUCUAAAAGGUGGUAAUUCUCUGAAAGCUGGUAACCUCACGAAUGGUUGUAUAUUGAUUUUUAUGUAGGAAGACUUGCUUUAAACACCAUGAGUGUCAAAACGCUUGAAAUGAAAAUGCAUAUGCACACGUUUCUGGCUUGGAAAUUGGACCCAAGAGUGUCUGCGCUUGUGGAAUCACAUGUUUCGGUUGGUUUUGAAAUUCAAAAAUGGUCUUUAUAGGCAAGAUAGUAAUCUUCUUAGUGCCCUUGCCUCGAUGUAUGAUGAGAGUAAAGAUCAUUUCGUCAUUGGGAAUCCUAAGAUGGAUAUUGAUUUUGGUCUAGAAGACGUUUUAUAUAUUACAGGUCUUCCAACUGACGCAGAACAUGUAUUUAUCUUUUCUUUUACUUCAACAUAUCUUUAGUUUUAGUUAUUCGAUUUCUAAUGCCCAAUUUGAAUACAGGUUUCAGGAUAUGAGAGUCAAAACAUCAAUGCUACAAUCAUGGAGCAUUUUAAGAUAAAUGAAGAGAAGGCUGAGUCAUUAAUGAUGAACUCCGGUAACAGUAUUGAUCUCUCAAGAUUGAAGUUUGAAUUUGAGAUGGUACCACAAGAGGAGGAUAUUGACUUAGAGCCUUAUUUCAAGGCUUAUCUCCUCUUUUUGUUGGGAGAAUUCAUUCACCCAAACAACAGCUGCUCUUAUUCUCCCAUGUACCUACCACUGCUUGGAUUGAAUGUUGUCAACCACUAUGCUUGGGGAGCAGCUAUGUUGGCGAAUAUGAAAGAAUCUAUAGAAAAAGUGAAGAAAGUUGGGAAAUUCACAAGCUUAUGUGGUUUUUCGUACGCCCUCACGGUAAGGUCUUUAAAAAACAAAAGGUAGUUAAUAUGAUUCAUAAUAAAUCAAUGAUGUACAAUGACAAUUAUUGUUCUUUAUCUUUUUCUUAUAGGUAUUUGCAUUAGAGCGGUUUCCAUUCCUUAGAGAAAGAUGUGGAUCAUCACCUCUAUAUUCUCUACCAUCCGGAUUUCCCUUGAUUUUGGGGUGGAUGGAGGCGUUGUGUAAACCGAAUAAAGACACGAAAAAUGUAAAGUCUGUGGGAUACUACAAAAAGAAGCUUCAAGACAUGGAAGAAAAAGACGUAAGAUCUUAAACUCUUAUUUCUGUUUUUAAAUACAUAUAAAUUGAAUAUAUAUCGUUAUAAAUUGAAUAUAUAUCGUUUUUAACUGAGAAGCAUAGGUUGUGUGGCAGCCUUAUAACAAUCGUGACUUUAAACUGUCGGAGAAGUAUGCUUCUCAGUUGCCUAUGGUCUUUUCACGCACACCAUGUUCGUGAUUUAAAGAAUGUGCGUAUAAUCGUCCAGAUGUAUGUUUUAAGCAAUUAGGAUUAGAGAAGUCGCAAGUCAAAACAUCGUGGCCAAAGAUUAAGAAAAAGGAGGAAAUUGAAACUAAGCAAAUACAAAAACAAAGAUUGGAAAUCUUCCAACCCUUACUACAAAUUCGUGGCUGAGGAGUGGACUAAGCGAUAUGAAAAUUUUAUCUGUGAAAUUGCUCGAGAUGAGGUGACGAGUGUUCCUGAGGUGAGUUGAUUAUUUAAGUUGAUUUUUUUUUGUUUGUCUUUGUGUACUUCGUAUUAUUGUCUUUGUCUCCGUAAUAACAAAGUUUUUUUUCUGAGGAAGAGUUGCAAGUGGUGGAUAUUCUACUUCUCAUUCUUUUCGAAUUAAACAUGAGAGGCCUUAUUUGGUCGAAGACAAUGAAGAGGUGAUUUUGAAUUCUUGUUUUAAUUUUGUUCCUUCUUUGUUUGAACUUUCAUUUGUAUCCGAGUGUCUUCUCUCAACUAAUUGAGCAAAAGCUGCUGAUUGUCAAUGCAUGUCAAUAAUCAAUGCAUGUCAAUGGUUUUCAUAGGGACCAUCGGAUCAUAGAAUGGUGUGUGCCACACAUGUUUGUGAGAAUGAAUCAUCGGAUCAUAGAGAUUCUGCGUGUGAGAGCACGCAUGGGGAUAAUUCCACAAAUGCACACAGCAGCGAAAAGGAGCAACCAUCACCAUCAUCACACAACAAUGACAAUGGUAACAUACCAUCUUAACACGCUCUCAACAUAUGUAUACUAACCAUUGUGAAAUUAUGAUAUGCCAUUUUUAAAUAAACAGGGGACUACGUAACUGUGGAGCCGGAGCUGCUAGAGCUACAGGUGACAUUUAUUCUCUUUUUUUAGCACAAAUGAACGUUGAACUCCCCUUGGUAUGAUGUGCAUUAUGUGGUCUCUCAAAUCCGAACAGUUUGGUUAUCUCUCAUUGCCUUAUUUAAUUGUUUACCUCUAAUUUUACUCUGAUUUGAUUGUGGAGAAUCAGGUUGAAAGACUUGAAGAGAAUAAGGUUACGACUGUCCCUCCUCUGAGUGUUCAAGCAAGUUGAUAUGACUCAAAUUACCCUAAAGAGUGUUACUCUCAUCAAAAGAGGUUCAGAUGUAGUACUUAGGGAUCGAAUCUACAGAGACUCUAGGAUUACUCAGUAGACUUAAAUAAUUAUAAAUGAAGAUAGACUAAAAGGUCUUAAUAGUUUUAAAAGCAGUAAAUGAUAAAUCGAAAACAAUAGUGAUUCAAUAGAUUAAAUUGAAGUGGUUUCAAGAAUGGGAAAGCAGCUAGAUUCACGUAAUUUUCAGGUAUGAAAUGUACGCACUUAGUUUAGACUAAAGGGUUUGAUGGUUUUUGAACUAAACAAUGAUUUAACCGGAUAGGUUAUGUUUGCUAGAUCUCGGAUCUCAACUGUCGUAGUUUGAUCUCGAGAGAGUGUCGAUCGAUGUGACUUGAUGUACAUCGACCGGUACACCUUUGUAACGAUCGACAGACAGAACGAUAGUUGCGUCGAUCGAUGGUUAUUCUAGCGAGCUUUGCGAACGGGUUUAACUUGUUCUCUAACCUUCUCAGACCAACUGUCGUUGCGCCUGAGUUAGUUAGAUCACGCAAGUGGGUUCAGGUAUUGAGGGGAAACGGUUAGUUGGACUCAAUUAAUCCUAAGAUCUAAAAUGAAGGUGAUCAAUCUCAAUUUUAGCAUUAAGUUCACAAGCAAUGAAAGAACAAUCAAAACACCUUUUUAAUAGUCAUAUUAGCAGUACAUAAUUUCAACCAUGGUGAGAAACCUAAAUCUAACAAUUGGUUUACUCAAACAUAUUCAUGAGAGACAAAGUCAUGAUGGUGUGAAAUAAACUUAAAUGAAACAUAGAACACAGAUAGAUAGAGUAAUAGAAAUAAAGGAGUUCAAGAUCUUCUCUGUUUUGUAGUCUCAGAUCUAUCUCUCCAAUCCUAAGCUCUUCUAAUGGUAGCCAAAAUGCUCCUUCUCCAAACUAGGUCUUUUUGCAAGUGUCUCCUAGAAAUGAUACAAAACCCUAGUACAUAUAGCCUAACAGGCGGCCAGGG
Molecule: long non-coding RNA, 5462 nt
Filed under: Brassica napus (rape)
Lineage: Eukaryota; Viridiplantae; Streptophyta; Magnoliopsida; Brassicales; Brassicaceae
Description: long non-coding RNA (BNAP_LNC003920)
Source: RNAcentral